CAUGGCAUAGCUUACCAAAGCAUCCCGCUUACACCGAGAAGACCUCUGCUUACCAGAUUACCAUGA
Molecule: transfer RNA, 66 nt
Filed under: Synapturanus sp. QCAZ 64259
Lineage: Eukaryota; Metazoa; Chordata; Amphibia; Anura; Microhylidae
Description: tRNA-Val
Source: RNAcentral